UUCCCAGUGGCUGGGAGCUGGAUUAGCACAGUGCUGUCAAAAGACUCAUGGUUGCUUGGAGUGAGUCAACCUGCCUGCAGUUCCCAGCCUAGGAGAUCCCAGAGUGGGCAAGCAGAAGUCUUGCCUGAGAUUGGGGCCGGAGGUCACUUCUGCCCUGAGUGGGGGCCGUAGUAGCCCAGUGAUCUCAGCAGACUUGCAGGAGUGAGUCAACCUGUCUGAAGUUCCCAAGCCAGGAGAUCCCUGGCAAUGUAUUUUUCUAAAACAAAAGAAACUAGAGGGUAGUGGGGUGAUGCCUUUACACCAGGCUGGAGAUUAUUUUAAUGUGGCAUUCUAACUUUAGGCCAGUUACAAAGUGGUGCCAAGAUUCAAAUAUACCGCCAGGCGUUGGUGGCGCACGCCUUUAAUCCCAGCACUCGGGAGGCAGAGGCAGCUGGAUCUCUGUGAGUUCGAGGCCAGGCUGGACCGACAGCCUCCAAAACAGAGAAACCCUGUCUUGUAAAACCAAAAAAAAAAAGAUUCAAAUAUACCCCCACUUAGUGAAAACCAUGGAGAGAUGAGUACCAGCCACACUGAAAGAAGACCUAGGUUUGGGAAACAGGAGCUCCAAUACAGAAUAUUCUACAAACACUUGGAAUGCUAUCACUGAGCCAUCCAGAAAGCAAUGGGUACAAAUUGGAAGAAGAUGGAUGGCUCAGAGUAAGACACACACACCUCCAUGAGAAAAAGAAACUCGUUGUUCAUACAAAUAGUAAAUCUUCCUGACAGGCGUGGAGCAUUGGGGAGAAAUAAUCUCAGGCGUAUGGAAAACAAGACAAAUGGGAAAACACAUGACCUUUCAGUCCAGGAGCCUUGGCUGACGGCUCAGUUGUGGAAAUGUCUGUACUGUCGCAACACAAGCAGCCACAAGAGAAUUCUGCAGAACAACCAGAAAAGCAAAACCAGUAGAAAACUCAACAAAGAUCGUGAACGGACUAAUUCACAGAAGACAGAAAGCGAGUAAGUUCAUGUACACUAAUUGAGGAAAUUAAAACCACUCCCAACCGGCGCAUUGACCAAAGCUUUAACAUUCUGAGGAGACAGGUGUUGGAGGUGCAGAGCAUCAGAAACACUUAUCUUCUACGCCCUGAGUGACUGGCACAGUCCCCUGACCCAGAGGAGCUGAAGAUGCUAGCUCAAACACCACGUGCCUAUCAGUGCAGGUGGCUAUUGACCCUCCUCAGACCCCAGACGGUCCUUCCACCCACACCUUCUGGUAACCUCAUUUGUUUUUCUGUUUUGUUUUGUUUUUCUAGGCAGGAUUCCUCUUCCUAGCCCUGCCUGUCUUGGAACUCACUCUGUCAACUCACUGAGAUCCACCUGCCUCUGCCUCCUGAGUGCUGUGUGCUACCUCAAUUUUAUUUCACUGAAAAGAAACACAAACCUCAGCAUGUCUGCUCAACCCGUGUGCAGACAGACUGCCUCCUCUAUCACUACAGGUCACUGUUCGUGAUCUAGAAGAUGGUAAGCAGGCAAGAGACAAGCAAUUCAAACUCUGGAGUGGCAGUCGGCCUUGAAGAGGGAGAACUGAAGAUGUGGCCAGAAUUCCAAUGAGCACACAGCGCUCUGUGGACACUCGGGACUGUGAAGGAGAUCACUGGAUGCUGGGAAGCAGGCAGCCCAGGAGUCCCCAGGCUGCUCUCUGAACCUCUGCAUGUUCCCGUCUCAGUGUCUCCUUCCACGUGGUGACACUCUAGAGGAAGUUUCAGUCUAGGAGCAGCACAUCUCUGUGAUUGUGGUCGCAGCAAAAGGCGAUUUCUCCUAAUGCCCCUUCCCCAACAACUGUCUCUUAAGUCUCUCCCAAUAUCAUUAUAUCAUGUUCUCUCCUUUAAUCCAGUUUGUCAUGUUGGUUCCACCCCCUUGUUAGAGAUGGGUUGUCAGGGCUACUGGUUUAUUUCCUACCUUUUUUUUUUUUAUUUGUCAAUCAGAUUUUUGCUUAUGUGGUACCAGCUCUGAAGACUACUUACAAGUCUCCAUUGCAACCAACCAUUUGUCAUUGCUGUCUUAUCUCACACAUCUCAAAAUGUCAAUUUAUCUUCUUAAUUUUUAAAAUAAAUUUAUAUCUAAGUA
Long non-coding RNA from Mesocricetus auratus (golden hamster), 2106 nucleotides. RefSeq lists it as uncharacterized. The record is from RefSeq and is a predicted model, not a curated record. The transcript has 2 exons. Lineage: Eukaryota; Metazoa; Chordata; Mammalia; Rodentia; Cricetidae.